AACAACAAUGAGGUGGUGGAAUUGAGAACCCUAACAAUAGAUAGACAGUCUGACACGGCAUGUGCCUGUAUUGCUGGGACAUCGAGCCUUCCCAAGUCAACCCGGAGGUGGAGUGGAAAUUACAGAAGUAGGGAGCAGGAUAAAGUUCUCAAUUGCCAGAUGUGGAACAGAUUGCUCUUGGGUCUUCUGGUUAAAAGAUUGGAUCAAAACGAGUGAAGGAGGAGUUAUUUAAGGAAGGACCAAGACAACAUCAUCCUUCAGAGGUCACUGAGCGGCAUUAUGUGAACCGUUUGCAGUGGUGGUGUUUACCUUUUUUAUUGACACAAACCAAAAAUGUAAUCAGAAUGUUACCUUUAUAUGUUACAAAAAAGUAUGAUUUUUCUUUCAUUUUAAUUUUUCUAAAGCUUGCAAAUAAACGUAUUCAGAAUAUGCAACACCUAAAGAAAGAGAAGAGGAGACUGAAUAAAAGGUUUUCAAGGCCUUCUCCUAUUCCAGAACCAGGACUCCUACUGGUUUGAGGUUGCAGAGACAACUGAAAUGUUUCACAAAUAGUGGUCAUCUUGAUAAAGCAGGAGUCUAUUUGAAGGAAACCAUGCUCCAGACAGAAAUAUGUGGAUUGUGAACAUCAAGUGACAUAUCAUGAAUUGAUCAUCCACAAAAUAAAUGCAAUACUCCACCAUUUCGGAAAAAUAAACACAGUGCAAGUAUUUAAUAUC
RNAcentral lists this long non-coding RNA (716 nucleotides) under Homo sapiens (human). Its description in RNAcentral is "HSALNT0173037". The record is from RNAcentral. Lineage: Eukaryota; Metazoa; Chordata; Mammalia; Primates; Hominidae.